UACGUAGGGUGCAAGCGUUACUCGGAAUUACUGGGCGUAAAGCGUGCGCAGGCGGCUAUGCAAGACAGAUGUGAAAUCCCAGGGCUUAACCUUGGAACUGCAUUUGUGACUGCAUAGCUAGAGUACGGUAGAGGGGGAUGGAAUUCCGCGUGUAGCAGUGAAAUGCGUAGAUAUGCGGAGGAACACCGAUGGCGAAGGCAAUCCCCUGGACCUGUACUGACGCUCAUGCACGAAAGCGUGGGGAGCAAACAGG
RNAcentral lists this ribosomal RNA (253 nucleotides) under uncultured bacterium. RNAcentral describes it as "partial 16S ribosomal RNA". It matches the Rfam family "Bacterial small subunit ribosomal RNA", at positions 524 to 776 of the family's 1533-position model. The record is from RNAcentral.